This 334-nucleotide ribosomal RNA is filed under the name Cyrtocarenum cunicularium. Its description in RNAcentral is "partial 12S ribosomal RNA". The record is from RNAcentral. Lineage: Eukaryota; Metazoa; Arthropoda; Arachnida; Araneae; Ctenizidae.
AAAGGUAAUACUUUUAGGAAACCUUUAUCCUUUGGCGGCCUUUUUUCUUUUCAGAGGAAUUCGUCUAUUAAUCGAAAUUACCCGCUUAUUUUCUCUUUUCCUUAAUCAUUUAUACCGCCGUCUAAAUAAUACACUAAAAAUUCUAUUUGCAAUAAUAUUUAUCAAGUCAGGUCAAGGUGAAGACAUGAAAAAGAUUAGAUAAAUUACUAAUUAACGUUAUCAAUGAACUAAUAUCUAAAGUGACAAAUGAAACAGGAUUUGAAAGUAGGGAGAACGAAAAAUAAAAAUUUCACCCGAACCAGCGUUUAGGUGUACACAUCGCCCGUCGCUCUUA